CUUAUAUCAUAUUGUUAAAAAUAGUAACGUAAGCAAAUGUAACGUCAAUUAGGUAGUUGAUUAGGUAGUCAAUAUAAUUAUUGCCACUGGCUCUUUGACGCAAAUCGAAAUACAAUGUGCCUUCACUCAUCGGGGUGCUACCAGACUUUUCAUUAGAGAGUCAUAGUGGCUGAGAUAACACCCGUAAUAACUUGAACCAGAUAAUGCUGGCAUAGGAAUGA
Molecule: unclassified non-coding RNA, 221 nt
Filed under: Moritella viscosa
Lineage: Bacteria; Pseudomonadati; Pseudomonadota; Gammaproteobacteria; Alteromonadales; Moritellaceae
Description: putative sRNA
Rfam family: TPP riboswitch aptamer (THI element) (bases 121-221)
Source: RNAcentral